RNAcentral lists this transfer RNA (72 nucleotides) under Camelus bactrianus (Bactrian camel). It matches the Rfam family "tRNA". From Rfam's summary of the family: Transfer RNA (tRNA) molecules are approximately 80 nucleotides in length. Lineage: Eukaryota; Metazoa; Chordata; Mammalia; Artiodactyla; Camelidae. The record is from Rfam by way of RNAcentral. RNAcentral also lists the same sequence under 1 other name.
GAGGGUGUAGCUCAGCGGUAGAGCACAUGCCCAGCAGGCACAAGGUCCGGGGUUCAACCCCCAGCACCUCCA